CCUACGGGAGGCAGCAGUGAGGAAUAUUGGUCAAUGGUCGGGAGACUGAACCAGCCAAGCCGCGUGAGGGAUGAAGGUACAGAGUAUCGUAAACCUCUUUUGUCAGGGAACAAAGGCGGGGACGCGUCCCCGGAUGAGUGUACCUGAAGAAAAAGCAUCGGCUAACUCCGUGCCAGCAGCCGCGGUAAUACGGAGGAUGCGAGCGUUAUCCGGAUUUAUUGGGUUUAAGGGGUGCGCAGGCGGUCUGUUAAGUCAGCGGUAAAAGCCCGGGGCUCAACCCCGCCCCGCCGUUGAAACUGGCAGUCUCGAGUUGGAGAGAAGUAUGUGGAAUGCGCGGUGUAGCGGUGAAAUGCAUAGAUAUCGCGCAGAACUCCGAUUGCGAAGGCAGCAUGCCGGCUCCACACUGACGCUGAGGCACGAAAGCGUGGGUAUCGAACAGGAUUAGAUACCCUGGUAGUC
Molecule: ribosomal RNA, 459 nt
Filed under: uncultured bacterium
Lineage: Bacteria
Description: partial 16S ribosomal RNA
Rfam family: Bacterial small subunit ribosomal RNA
Source: RNAcentral